Molecule: transfer RNA, 82 nt
Filed under: Ameiurus melas (black bullhead)
Lineage: Eukaryota; Metazoa; Chordata; Actinopteri; Siluriformes; Ictaluridae
Rfam family: tRNA
About the family: Transfer RNA (tRNA) molecules are approximately 80 nucleotides in length. Their secondary structure includes four short double-helical elements and three loops (D, anti-codon, and T loops). Further hydrogen bonds mediate the characteristic L-shaped molecular structure. tRNAs have two regions of fundamental functional importance: the anti-codon, which is responsible for specific mRNA codon recognition, and the 3' end, to which the tRNAs corresponding amino acid is attached (by aminoacyl-tRNA synthetases). tRNAs cope with the degeneracy of the genetic code in two manners: having more than one tRNA (with a specific anti-codon) for a particular amino acid; and 'wobble' base-pairing, i.e. permitting non-standard base-pairing at the 3rd anti-codon position.
Source: Rfam by way of RNAcentral
GGUAGUGUGGCCGAGUGGUCUAAGGCGCUGGAUUUAGGCUCCAGUCCCUUUGGGGGCGUGGGUUCGAAUCCCACCGCUGCCA